AUGAGACAUAAAGAGAGUUAAAUAUAAUGAAGAAGAGAGGUCUAAUAUGGCGAAAAGAGUCAUGUUUAAUAGCC
Molecule: unclassified non-coding RNA, 74 nt
Filed under: Arabidopsis thaliana (thale cress)
Lineage: Eukaryota; Viridiplantae; Streptophyta; Magnoliopsida; Brassicales; Brassicaceae
Source: RNAcentral